GAAAUGCGAUACGUAGUGUGAAUUGCAGAAUUCCGUGAAUCAUCGAAUCUUUGAACGCAUAUUGCGCUCAAGGCCUCGGCCAAGAGCAUGUCUGCCUCAGCGUCGGGUUUCAACUCAUGUCCAUCAUCGAUUGCCCAAUCUCUGGGUGGUUGCAUGAGGACGUGGACUUGGCAGUUUCCUUGUGCCAUUACAGGCAUACAGGGAUCUGCUUAAACGUUAUGUUGCUUCGCCUCUCUUCUAUGAGUCGCAGCCGAGUAGUCAACUCGUUUGAUUGCUUGUCAGUCUGUGGUGACUUAGUUGUGAGGGCAGGGUGUCCUUGUGACAGUCUGUUAAGUUGCAAUGUGAUCAAGGAAACUCCACACAUUCUCGACCUGAGCUCAGGCAAGAUUACCCGCUGAAC
RNAcentral lists this unclassified non-coding RNA (400 nucleotides) under uncultured fungus. RNAcentral describes it as "sequence contains ITS1". The stretch from base 1 to 105 matches the Rfam family "5.8S ribosomal RNA", at positions 50 to 154 of the family's 154-position model. The record is from RNAcentral. Lineage: Eukaryota; Fungi.